RNAcentral lists this ribosomal RNA (490 nucleotides) under uncultured bacterium. Its description in RNAcentral is "SSU rRNA". It matches the Rfam family "Bacterial small subunit ribosomal RNA", at positions 26 to 518 of the family's 1533-position model. The record is from RNAcentral.
AGGAUAAACGCUGGCGGCGUGCCUAACACAUGCAAGUCGAACGCCCUUUUGCUCGCAAGAGCCAGAGGGAGUGGCGGACGGGUGAGUAACACAUGGGUAACCUACCCCCCAGUGAGGAAUACCGGCGAGAAAUCGCCGACAAGACCGCAUAGGCUCGGUCCGGUGAAGCGGAGCGAGCAAAGUCUCUUUUUUGAGAAAGAGGGAGACGCUGAGGGAUGGGCCUGUGGCCGAUUAGCUGGUUGGUAAGGUAAAGGCUUACCAAGGCGACGAUCGGUAGCUGGUCUGAGAGGACGAACAGCCACACUGGGAUUGAGAACGGCCCAGACUCCUACGGGAGGCAGCAGUGGGGAAUAUUGGACAAUGGGCGCAAGCCUGAUCCAGCCAUGCCGCGUGAGUGAUGACGGCCUUAGGGUUGUAAAGCUCUUUCGCUCGGGACGAUAAUGACGGUACCGAGAUAAGAAGCCCCGGCUAACUUCGUGCCAGCAGCCGC